RNAcentral lists this unclassified non-coding RNA (377 nucleotides) under plant metagenome. RNAcentral describes it as "partial contains 5.8S ribosomal RNA, internal transcribed spacer 2, and large subunit ribosomal RNA". The stretch from base 1 to 104 matches the Rfam family "5.8S ribosomal RNA", at positions 51 to 154 of the family's 154-position model. The record is from RNAcentral.
AAAUGCGAUAAGUAAUGUGAAUUGCAGAAUUCAGUGAAUCAUCGAAUCUUUGAACGCACCUUGCGCUCCUUGGUAUUCCUUGGAGCAUGCCUGUUUGAGUAUCAUGAAAUCUUCAAAGUAAAUCUUUUGUUAACUCAAUUGGUUUCUACUUUGGUAUUGGAGGUCUUUGCAGCUUCACAUCUGCUCCUCUUUGUUCAUUAGCUGGAUCUCAGUGUUAUGCUUGGUUCCACUCGGCGUGAUAAGUUAUCUAUCGCUGAGGACACUGUAAAAGGUGGCCAAGGUAAAUGCAGAUGAACCGCUUCUAAUAGUCCAUUGACUUGGACAAUACUUUUAUGAUCUGAUCUCAAAUCAGGUAGGACUACCCGCUGAACUUAAGC